Molecule: ribosomal RNA, 253 nt
Filed under: uncultured bacterium
Lineage: Bacteria
Description: partial 16S ribosomal RNA
Rfam family: Bacterial small subunit ribosomal RNA
Source: RNAcentral
UACGUAGGGGGCUAGCGUUGUCCGGAAUCAUUGGGCGUAAAGCGCGUGUAGGCGGUCCGGUAAGUCCGCUGUGAAAGUCGAGGGCUCAACCCUCGAAUGCCGGUGGAUACUGUCGGGCUAGAGUGCGGAAGAGGCGAGUGGAAUUCCUGGUGUAGCGGUGAAAUGCGCAGAUAUCAGGAGGAACACCUAUUGCGAAGGCAGCUCGCUGGGACGUUACUGACGCUGAGACGCGAAAGCGUGGGGAGCGAACAGG